This 512-nucleotide long non-coding RNA is filed under the name Hordeum vulgare. RNAcentral's name for it is "long non-coding RNA (HVUL_LNC018541)". The record is from RNAcentral. Lineage: Eukaryota; Viridiplantae; Streptophyta; Magnoliopsida; Poales; Poaceae.
UUAUUAUGAGUUCCAAGCACACCGUUGGUCCCCGCAUGGUUGAUACUGUCCAGAGUCGGUGCUCGUAAGACGCACAACAUGUGGGCUGGGUACCAAUCGAGUGGACCUCUUUGUCUAGUAUCGUCUGGGGAAAGAUGAUGAUCGGGUACUUACCUCUGGUAUAUGUGAUAUACCGCGAGUCGUGGAUGACACGGAAGUUUCCCUUUUCUCGUGGGUCCAGCGUACUACCUCUGCAGAGUGUAAACUAUUCGAAUAGCCAUGUCCACGGUCAAGGACAGUUGGGUGGUGCUACUUAAACUACGUCAUGUGUUUCCGCAUAAACCAAGAGUGUGUGUGUGUGGUGUUAAAAGGUGUUGUUAUGAUAAUCACAAUAAUAUGAUCAAGUUCGGAGACUUGACAUAUAGGGUAAACCCGGACGGUUUAGCCCUCAUUAAUACCUUGAGGUUAUGACAAGUCCGAUGACUUGGCAUAUAGGGUGAACCCGGUGUGUUCAACCCUUGUUAGAUAUGUUG